AUGGCGGCGGUGGUCGGCGUCCUCGCGCUGCAGGGCUCCUACAACGAGCACAUGGCCGCGCUGAGGAGGAUCGGGGCCAAGGGGGUGGAGGUGCGGAAGGCGGAGCAGCUGCUUGGCAUCGACUCCCUCAUCAUCCCCGGCGGCGAGAGCACCACCAUGGCCAAGCUCGCCAACUUCCACAACCUCUUUCCUGCACUUCGAGAGUUUGUCGGCACAGGAAAACCCGUAUGGGGAACCUGUGCUGGGCUCAUCUUCCUUGCUAACAAGGCAGUAGGGCAGAAAACAGGAGGCCAGGAGCUUGUUGGUGGACUAGAUUGUACUGUCCACCGUAACUUUUUUGGUAGCCAGCUUCAAAGCUUCGAAACAGAACUUUCAGUGCCAAUGCUUGCAGAGAAGGAAGGAGGGAGUCAUACAUGCCGUGGCGUAUUUAUACGAGCACCUGCUAUCCUAGAAGUAGGCCAGGAUGUUGAAGUAUUAGCCGAUUGCCCUGUUCCUGCUGGCAGACCCAGCAUUACAAUAACAUCUGGCGAGGGUUUGGAGGACCAAGUGUACUCCAAAGAUCGGGUGAUUGUUGCAGUUCGGCAAGGGAACAUCCUUGCCACCGCAUUCCACCCAGAGCUAACAUCAGACUCUAGAUGGCAUCGCCUCUUCUUGGACAUGGACAAAGAAUCUCAAGCAAAGGCCUUGGCUGCGCUAUCGCUAUCUGCAUCCUCAAACGAUGCAGAUGUUGGGUCGAAGAAUAAGGCUCCUGAUCUACCCAUUUUCGAGUAG
Molecule: ribosomal RNA, 771 nt
Filed under: Triticum aestivum (bread wheat)
Lineage: Eukaryota; Viridiplantae; Streptophyta; Magnoliopsida; Poales; Poaceae
Description: partial small subunit ribosomal RNA
Source: RNAcentral